UGUAAAUCAUGUUUGCGAACAAAUUGAAAACACGAUUAGUUCUUUUUCAUAUUGGUGACAAUUGUAACAUAAAUUUAACUUGUUACUAAGGCUGCAGUGCCAAAUCUAGAUUAUUAUUGUAGUCAUUUUUAAAUAUAAGAAACAAUAAGAAAUAUUAUUUUACAUUUUUACUGAAAUUAAAUUAUAUGGUACACAAUAAUGUUGCUUUGUCAUCAUCAGCUUUUACACACUCGAGCCUGCAAAAUACAAUGAACUUUGGAUCGGGAUUUAAUCAUCGGAAACGACUGCCCUAUCUAUGCAUCUGGAGCGAAAUUUUCAAAUAAUCCUUGGACCGAUAUAAAAUCCUCCUGCCGGAAGUGGCGCCAUGUUCUAUUCAAACUCGACGAGGCAAACGUGAAAUCCUUGAAAUGCAGCCGGUCGCAAAAGUGUUGCCACGCAGAAAAAUAGAUAAAUAAUUCACCGUUUUACCAGCUAAUAAAAUGUGAUAACAUUUUGUCUUGGGACUUUGAUAUUAUUUUAUUACUCGAGUAACUGUAAAUCGUUUUAACACAGCGACGAUUAGAAUCAUUAUUUAUCAAUUGCAAGGGUCUGACUGUUGAGAAACAGGAAACGUUCAGUUUCCAAGGGGUAAUCUUCGAUUACAACACACCUAAUACUAGAUUACGGGUACUGUUAAGAUUUCGAUACAGAGGGUCGAAUUCCGUGUAGAUUGAUACCUGUAUCAAUAAAAGAUAAGUUUGAAUAAUUCAUUUCACCGAUAACAGUUAUCUGAUAGUAGAUGCCGUUGAAGGAACACUAACGAUUUCCCUCAUGAUUCUAGGCAAUAUUGACUCCUUUGGCGGACAAGUGGAGUCAACUGGCCGUUCGAUUUGAUAAUCGUGAAAUUGUCGGACAAACAUCUGCGCCGAAUGGAUAAUUCGAGAAAGUUUUCGUAGACGAAAGUCGACCCGUAAGAUAAACCGAAAUGAACAGACGAAUCAGCCGAGAAAAGAAAAAGAAUCGCUUUCUCGUUUUUUCGGUAGGCGAGAUGGGUAGUCUCCAGCUCUAUUUACUCAGUUGACAUUUUCUCCUGUUACGAGCAACUGCUUAAACAGGUAAACAUUUGGCAGAGCUGGAGCAGUUCGGAGAUAUUUACAUAUAUCUGCCCGGUAUCUUUAUUUUCUCUCCCUUAUCUAAGAGGAUUUCUCGAC
Long non-coding RNA from Nomia melanderi (Alkali bee), 1190 nucleotides. RefSeq lists it as uncharacterized. NCBI's taxonomy places the organism in Eukaryota, Metazoa, Arthropoda, Insecta, Hymenoptera, Halictidae. The record is from RefSeq and is a predicted model, not a curated record.